RNAcentral lists this ribosomal RNA (256 nucleotides) under Klebsiella pneumoniae. RNAcentral's name for it is "partial 16S ribosomal RNA". It matches the Rfam family "Bacterial small subunit ribosomal RNA", at positions 343 to 591 of the family's 1533-position model. RNAcentral also lists the same sequence under 1 other name. Lineage: Bacteria; Pseudomonadati; Pseudomonadota; Gammaproteobacteria; Enterobacterales; Enterobacteriaceae. The record is from RNAcentral.
GGGAGGCAGCAGUGGGGAAUAUUGCACAAUGGGCGCAAGCCUGAUGCAGCCAUGCCGCGUGUGUGAAGAAGGCCUUCGGGUUGUAAAGCACUUUCAGCGGGGAGGAAGGCGGUGAGGUUAAUAACCUUGUCGAUUGACGUUACCCGCAGAAGAAGCACCGGCUAACUCCGUGCCAGCAGCCGCGGUAAUACGGAGGGUGCAAGCGUUAAUCGGAAUUACUGGGCGUAAAGCGCACGCAGGCGGUCUGUCAAGUCGG